This 407-nucleotide ribosomal RNA is filed under the name Cephalopholis urodeta (darkfin hind). Its description in RNAcentral is "partial 12S ribosomal RNA". It matches the Rfam family "Bacterial small subunit ribosomal RNA", at positions 783 to 1389 of the family's 1533-position model. Lineage: Eukaryota; Metazoa; Chordata; Actinopteri; Perciformes; Serranidae. The record is from RNAcentral.
UACCCCACUAUGCUUUAGCCCUAAACAUUGAUAGUUUUUUACACCUACUAUCCGCCUGGGAACUACGAGCAACAGCUUAAAACCCAAAGGACUUGGCGGUGCUUUAGACCCACCUAGAGGAGCCUGUUCUGAAACCGAUAACCCCCGUUCAACCUCACCUUUUCUUGUUCUCCCCGCCUAUAUACCGCCGUCGUCAGCUUACCCUAUGAAGGCCCCUUAGUAAGCACAAUUGGUACAACCCAAAACGUCAGGUCGAGGUGUAGCGUAUGGAAAGGGAAGAAAUGGGCUACAUUCCUUAAUUACAGGGAAUUACGAAAAUAUUACUGAAACGUGUAUCUAGAAGGAGGAUUUAGCAGUAAGCAGAAAAUAGAGCGUUCCGCUGAAACUGGCCCUGAAGCGCGCACACA